UGUAUAAAUGCAUUGCAAAGACAUUGACUAUGCCAAGUCUAAUAGAAGAGCAACUAAUCCUUGGCUGUUACUACAGUUCCUACUUGCCCCUGUCAUUUGAAAAUUUUCAGCCAAUCAGUAUCUUGGGCUCUAUCAAUGAUGUAAGUAAAAUGGCAAAAGUUCGAAAUGAAGAAUGUUUUAAGUUAUACUUAAAACAUUUAAUAUAUUCUUUAAAUUAUAUUUCACUCAAUAAUAACUCAAAUAAACAUGGAGGAUUCUACAAACUGUGAAAAUUUAACUCAUGUGCAAGAAGACGCGUCGUAGAUUCUAAACCUGGUUAGUGGCUGGUCUAGAAAUAUACUUUAGUAACCGGUUUUCUAGUCCUCGUCUGAACUGCGUCUGUUAAGACGCUU
This 392-nucleotide long non-coding RNA is filed under the name Androctonus crassicauda. The record is from RNAcentral. Lineage: Eukaryota; Metazoa; Arthropoda; Arachnida; Scorpiones; Buthidae.